GAUGAACGCUGGCGGCGUGCUUAACACAUGCAAGUCGAACGGAACUACUCCAAUGAGAGUCUUCGGAAAGGAUUUGGUUUAGUUUAGUGGCGGACGGGUGAGUAACGCGUGGGUAACCUGCCCUAUACAAGGGGAUAACAGUUGGAAACGACUGUUAAUACCGCAUAAGCGCACAGGAGCGCAUGCUCCGGUGUGAAAAACUCCGGUGGUAUAGGAUGGACCCGCGUCUGAUUAGCUGGUUGGCGGGGUAACGGCCCACCAAGGCGACGAUCAGUAGCCGGCCUGAGAGGGUGAACGGCCACAUUGGGACUGAGACACGGCCCAAACUCCUACGGGAGGCAGCAGUGGGGAAUAUUGCACAAUGGGGGAAACCCUGAUGCAGCGACGCCGCGUGAGCGAAGAAGUAUCUCGGUAUGUAAAGCUCUAUCAGCAGGGAAGAAAAUGACGGUACCUGACUAAGAAGCCCCGGCUAACUACGUG
This 480-nucleotide ribosomal RNA is filed under the name uncultured bacterium. RNAcentral's name for it is "partial 16S ribosomal RNA". It matches the Rfam family "Bacterial small subunit ribosomal RNA", at positions 28 to 507 of the family's 1533-position model. The record is from RNAcentral.